GUGAGGAAUAUUGGACAAUGGGCGCAAGCCUGAUCCAGCCAUGCCGCGUGCAGGAAGACGCAUCUAUGGUGUGUAAACUGCUUUUGUACGGGAAGAAACACUCCCUCGUGAGGGAGCUUGACGGUACCGUAAGAAUAAGGAUCGGCUAACUCCGUGCCAGCAGCCGCGGUAAUACGGAGGAUCCAAGCGUUAUCCGGAAUCAUCGGGUUUAAAGGGUCCGUAGGCGGUUUAAUAAGUCAGUGGUGAAAGCCCAUCGCUCAACGAUGGAACGGCCAUUGAUACUGUUAGACUUGAAUUACAAGGAAGUAACUAGAAUAUGUAGUGUAGCGGUGAAAUGCUUAGAUAUUACAUGGAAUACCAAUUGCGAAGGCAGGUUACUACUUGUGGAUUGACGCUGAUGGACGAAAGCGUGGGGAGCGAACAGGAUUAGAAACCCGUGUAGUCC
This 445-nucleotide ribosomal RNA is filed under the name uncultured bacterium. RNAcentral's name for it is "partial 16S ribosomal RNA". It matches the Rfam family "Bacterial small subunit ribosomal RNA", at positions 354 to 796 of the family's 1533-position model. The record is from RNAcentral.